GACGAACGCUGGCGGCGUGCUUAACACAUGCAAGUCGAACGGAAAGGCCCUGCUUGCAGGGUACUCGAGUGGCGAACGGGUGAGUAACACGUGGGUGAUCUGCCCUGCACUUCGGGAUAAGCCUGGGAAACUGGGUCUAAUACCGGAUAGGAGCCAUUUUUAGUGUGAUGGUUGGAAAGUUUUUUCGGUGUAGGAUGAGCUCGCGGCCUAUCAGCUUGGUGGUGGGGUAAUGGCCUACCAAGGCGGCGACGGGUAGCCGGCCUGAGAGGGUGGACGGCCACAUUGGGACUGAGAUACGGCCCAGACUCCUACGGGGGGCAGCAGUGGGGAAUAUUGCACAAUGGGCGCAAGCCUGAUGCAGCGACGCCGCGGGGGGGAUGACGGCCUUCGGGUUGGAAACUCCUUUCGCUAGGGACGAAGCUUUUUGUGACGGUACCUAGAGAAGAAGCACCGGCUAACUACGUG
RNAcentral lists this ribosomal RNA (465 nucleotides) under uncultured bacterium. Its description in RNAcentral is "partial 16S ribosomal RNA". It matches the Rfam family "Bacterial small subunit ribosomal RNA", at positions 28 to 507 of the family's 1533-position model. The record is from RNAcentral.